AAAAAAAAAAAUAAAAUAAAAAAGAGAGAGAAGAAAGUUUGGUUAUGAAGGAAGCUAUUUUUGGCUGUAAAAAAGCUCUUCUGUUCUUUUAGAAUUCUAAUUGCUCUCCUGUUUGUGUGGGAGUUUUAUUUUUUUGGGAUUCUUCGUCUCCUUAUAGUUCUAGGAUUUGGUUUAUACUCUAAGCACAACACUUUUUGUCUGAAUUUUUCUUUGAGUUUGUUUGACUAUUGGCCAUUGUUUUCUUAGCAACCGCACCAGAAGUAAUUUAACCUUCAUCUUUGUCUGAUUUUACUGUUGUUGAUUGCCCCGAGAAGCGGAUAAGCAAUUUUGAGAUAUAUUUAUUGAGACAUCUAGUGAGGAAACCUUUAUAUUUAUCUCCAUAU
RNAcentral lists this long non-coding RNA (383 nucleotides) under Phoenix dactylifera (date palm). RNAcentral's name for it is "long non-coding RNA (PDAC_LNC002168)". The record is from RNAcentral. Lineage: Eukaryota; Viridiplantae; Streptophyta; Magnoliopsida; Arecales; Arecaceae.